Molecule: long non-coding RNA, 601 nt
Organism: Polypterus senegalus (gray bichir)
Lineage: Eukaryota; Metazoa; Chordata; Cladistia; Polypteriformes; Polypteridae
Exons: 3
Source: RefSeq, a predicted model, not a curated record
AUCUGAUUCCUCUCCUACCAGUUCUUGCAGGGCCUGGAAUUUGUUUCUCAACAUUACGCUAAAUUUGUCCCUUAUUUGUGUGUCUUUAUGAAAUCCUACGUUGUAUUUGUACCGUGCUAUUAAUGCUGAUGUCCUGUUCUUUUUCAGUUUCAGUAGAAAUUUACCUAGAAGGAGGUGAUGGUCUGAUGCCACAUCUGCUCCUUUUCUCACUUACAUGUCUAAAAACAGAAUGACUUACAGAAUAACGAAGUGGAAAGUUAAGAUCAUCUUACUGCAGCAAAAUCACCAAAGUAUUCCAUCACCUGCAGACUUGGAAAAGCUCACCAGUGAUGAGCUAGGUGUAUCUGUUCAUGAGUUACAGAGACCAGAAGAAGAUACUUUCAAACAUUCAGAAAUUGACCUUAAUGUAAGUCUUGGUGAAUUAAAUCAGUUCACAAGCCAGUGUUAUCCAAGACUUACAUUACAUUUGAUUGGAUUCAGCAUGGCAAGAGUAGACAAAAACAGAAGGCUUACAAGAUUGGUUGUUUCUUCAGUGAAUGAUCUUAAAAAGAAAGUUGUCUGAAGUAAAUUGUAUAUUAUUCCUCAUUCCUACAUAUCUCCU